AUCUACCCUGGGCGAUGUGGAUACUAGUACGGUGUGUAUAGACCAUGAGACAUUACUCAAGACUUGGCUUGCCUACAAACAAUACACUAGCCAUAGAUGCCCUCGAUAUCUCUCUUCAUGUUGGGCCAAUAGAAGUGUUUCUGUAACAUGUUUAGGGUCUUCGGUACCCUGUAAUUAGUGUACAUCUCCUUUAAUCCUAAAAAUUUGG
Molecule: long non-coding RNA, 208 nt
Filed under: Carica papaya (papaya)
Lineage: Eukaryota; Viridiplantae; Streptophyta; Magnoliopsida; Brassicales; Caricaceae
Description: long non-coding RNA (CPAP_LNC012969)
Source: RNAcentral